Molecule: ribosomal RNA, 253 nt
Filed under: uncultured bacterium
Lineage: Bacteria
Description: partial 16S ribosomal RNA
Rfam family: Bacterial small subunit ribosomal RNA
Source: RNAcentral
UACGUAGGGUGCAAGCGUUGUCCGGAAUUAUUGGGCGUAAAGAGCUCGUAGGCGGUUCGUCGCGUCGGCUGUGAAAACCCGGAGCUCAACUCCGGGCCUGCAGUCGAUACGGGCGGACUUGAGUUCGGCAGGGGAGACUGGAAUUCCUGGUGUAGCGGUGAAAUGCGCAGAUAUCAGGAGGAACACCGGUGGCGAAGGCGGGUCUCUGGGCCUUACCUGACGCUGAGGAGCGAAAGCGUGGGGAGCAAACAGG